RNA transcript from Fragaria vesca subsp. vesca, 721 nucleotides. RefSeq lists it as uncharacterized. The transcript is spliced from 3 exons. The record is from RefSeq and is a predicted model, not a curated record. NCBI's taxonomy places the organism in Eukaryota, Viridiplantae, Streptophyta, Magnoliopsida, Rosales, Rosaceae.
UGGAAGUUUUAUAUCAGUGAUUUUAUCUUCAGGCUGGGUAAGCGCAUUUCAAAACAAAGAAAAAUUUGAAGAGGUUGGGGGAUUUCAGAUGUUUGUUUCAGGUUUUCUCUUCGAUGCCUUCCUUCUGAAGUUUGAGGCUCCUUAUAUAGGAGGCGGAACUCAAGCUGGAAAUAAAUCACACUUAUACAUAGUGGGAGACAGGAGGAAUCCUAUCCUAAUAACUUUACUUUUGAAAAAGUAAAGUCGAAAGCUUUAAUGUGCUGGUAGCCAUUUUCUUUUUAUCAAAAGAAAAGCUGUUUGUCUUGUUGCGUUGGCAGCCACUCAACUUUCCAGCAUAUUCACAAUGUUGUGAUAUGUUUCUAAAUCUUCAGAAUAACCCACUGAGGAGUUGGGACCACUAUAUUCCCAAUCUCGCGCCGUGUCUUCAUCUCCAUUCUCGGCCGUAUAUUACAACAGUUGAUAAAAUUGAGAUGAAGAGCUUGCUGAUCAAAGUCUGAUGGUAUUUGGGACUUUGAAUUUUGACAAAUCAGGUUUACAGGUCAGAGGGUUGUCUCAUAAAGGUUGGGAUUCAUAGUAAUGUUUUGGGGCUUUCUGUGACGUUUCUUUUCAUUUUCUUUGUAAUCUGACCUCUAUACUUCCAAUCUCUGUGAAGUAAUAGGUUGAUCAUUUUUUUCUCUGCUUGAGAAAUUGAUAAUUGAGAAGAACAAUGUGUUUUUGGUUC